RNAcentral lists this ribosomal RNA (730 nucleotides) under uncultured Thiothrix sp. RNAcentral's name for it is "bacterial SSU rRNA". It matches the Rfam family "Bacterial small subunit ribosomal RNA", at positions 35 to 801 of the family's 1533-position model. The record is from RNAcentral. Lineage: Bacteria; Pseudomonadati; Pseudomonadota; Gammaproteobacteria; Thiotrichales; Thiotrichaceae.
GCUGGCGGUAUGCUUAAGACAUGCAAGUCGUGCGGUAGAAGGCUUCGGCCUUUGAGAGCGGCGGACGGGUGAGUAACACGUGGGAAUCUGCCUAUUAGUGGGGGACAGCCCAGCGAAAGCUGGAUUAAUACCGCAUACGCCCUACGGGGGAAAGCAGCAAUGCGCUAAUAGAUGAGCCCGCGUAAGAUUAGCUAGUUGGUAAGGUAAAGGCUUACCAAGGCGACGAUCUUUAGCUGGUCUGAGAGGAUGGCCAGCCACAUCGGGACUGAGACACGGCCCGGACUCCUACGGGAGGCAGCAGUCGGGAAUAUUGGACAAUGGGCGCAAGCCUGAUCCAGCAAUACCGCGUGUGUGAAGAAGGCCUGCGGGUUGUAAAGCACUUUCAGUUGGGAAGAUAAUGACGUUACCAACAGAAGAAGCACCGGCUAACUCCGUGCCAGCAGCCGCGGUAAUACGGAGGGUGCAAGCGUUAAUCGGAAUUACUGGGCGUAAAGCGUGCGUAGGCGGCCUGUUAAGUCAGAUGUGAAAGCCCCGGGCUUAACCUGGGAACUGCAUCUGAUACUGGGAGGCUAGAAUGUGGGAGAGGAGAGUGGAAUUUCCGGUGUAGCGGUGAAAUGCAUAGAGAUCGGAAGGAACACCAGUGGCGAAGGCGGCUCUCUGGACCAACAUUGACGCUGAGGCACGAAAGCGUGGGUAGCAAACAGGAUUAGAUACCCUGGUAGUCCACGCC